GUGGGGAAUCUUGCGCAAUGGGCGAAAGCCUGACGCAGCCAUGCCGCGUGAAUGAUGAAGGUCUUAGGAUUGUAAAAUUCUUUCACCGGGGACGAUAAUGACGGUACCCGGAGAAGAAGCUCCGGCUAACUUCGUGCCAGCAGCCGCGGUAAUACGAAGGGGGCUAGCGUUGCUCGGAAUUACUGGGCGUAAAGGGCGCGUAGGCGGACAGCUUAGUCAGAGGUGAAAGCCCAGGGCUCAACCUUGGAAUUGCCUUUGAUACUGGCUGUCUUGAGUUUGGGAGAGGUGAGUGGAACUCCGAGUGUAGAGGUGAAAUUCGUAGAUAUUCGGAAGAACACCAGUGGCGAAGGCGACUCACUGGCUCAUUACUGACGCUGAGGCUCGAAAGCGUGGGGAGCAAACAGGAUUAGAUACCCUUGUAGUCC
This 425-nucleotide ribosomal RNA is filed under the name uncultured bacterium. RNAcentral's name for it is "partial 16S ribosomal RNA". It matches the Rfam family "Bacterial small subunit ribosomal RNA", at positions 354 to 796 of the family's 1533-position model. The record is from RNAcentral.